This 285-nucleotide long non-coding RNA is filed under the name Vigna radiata. RNAcentral describes it as "long non-coding RNA (VRAD_LNC007618)". The record is from RNAcentral. Lineage: Eukaryota; Viridiplantae; Streptophyta; Magnoliopsida; Fabales; Fabaceae.
GAGAGGAGCGUUGUUAUAGGUUGCUGGCUCUGUCUGCUCAUAGUUAUCUCUUUCAUCAGCAAAGUCAUCAUACGCAUCAGGUCCACCAACAAGAGCACCAGUGAGUAGGUUGGGGUCACUCCUUUUGCUGCUAAACCAAGUAUUAUAACCUCCACGGCAGCUGACAAACGAAGGGUUAACCUUGAUCGAAACAAUGGAUGAACCUCGGUGAUGAACCCUUUGUGGGAAGUUGUUUCCAUAGCCCACCAUGUAACUAGUUGCUCUUGGGUUGUUUCCAAGAAGGUA